Non-coding RNA from Salmo salar (Atlantic salmon), 815 nucleotides. The record is from RefSeq and is a predicted model, not a curated record. NCBI's taxonomy places the organism in Eukaryota, Metazoa, Chordata, Actinopteri, Salmoniformes, Salmonidae.
GGAAGCCGUUGCAGAGUGAGGAAGAGGAAGAGGGAGGGUGAGAAUGAGAGGGGGAGGAAGAGUGAGAGGUAGGGGUAGAGCUGGUAGAGGAGUUCAUGGCCAAAGAAGACAACAACUUUCAAAUGAAAUCAGAGCAACCUUAGUUGAUCAUGUCAUCAACCAUGGGCUGACAAUGCGAGAGGCUGGACAGAGAGUGCAGCCCAACUUGAGCCGUUUUACUGUCGCCUGUGUCAUCCGGACAUUUAGACUGGAGUACAGGACUGAGAGACGCAACCAUGGUGGAGGAAGGGGCCAAAUGUUCACCGGGUUAAAGGAAGCUGCCAUUGUAAAAUUGGUUUUGGAAAAUAAUGAAAUCAGAUUACGAGAAAUUCAAAGCCACAUCAUCCAAGACAACACCAUAUUCAACAACAUUCAACGAGUCAGUCUGUUCACAUUGACUCGCAUUCUCAAGCGAAACCAAAUCAGAAUGAAACAACUUUAUAAGGUGCCGUUUGAGAGAAACUCUCAAAGAAACAAAGAGUUCAGACGAGCAUAUGUGGAUGGAGUACUGGAAAUGGAUGCUCAUGCAAUCCCACAUGAGUUCAUCUUUAUAGAUGAGGCUGGGUUCAACCUAGCAAAGACCAGAAGAAGGGGGAGAAACGUCAUUGGCCACAGAGCCAUUAUAGAUGUUCCUGGCCAACGUGGUGGGAACAUCACAAUGUGCACUGCCAUCUCCAAUACGCAUGGUGUCCUCCACCGUCAUGCCAACCUUGGACCAUACAACACAGCCCAUAUUCUCACAUUUCUGGACAGACUCCACAACAUUCUCAUACCAC